RNAcentral lists this ribosomal RNA (482 nucleotides) under uncultured bacterium. RNAcentral's name for it is "partial 16S ribosomal RNA". It matches the Rfam family "Bacterial small subunit ribosomal RNA", at positions 28 to 523 of the family's 1533-position model. The record is from RNAcentral.
AGUGAACGUUGGCGGCGUGGAUUAGGCAUGCAAGUCGAGCGAGAACCGUAGCAAUACGGGGACAGCGGCGAAAGGGACAGUAAUGUGUAGGUACCUACCUCCGGGUUCGGGAUAGCUGCGGGAAACUGCAGGUAAUACCGAAUAACGUCUCCGGACCAAAGGUGUGAUUCCACCUGGAGAGGGGCCUGCAUCCUAUUAGCUUGUUGGCGGGGUAACGGCCCACCAAGGCGGCGGUGGGUAGCGGGUGUGAGAGCACGACCCGCGUCAUUGGGGCUGGGACACUGCCCAGACACCUACGGGUGGCUGCAGUCGUGAAUCUUCGGCAAUGGGCGCAAGCCUGACCGAGCGACGCCGCGUGCGGGGUGAAGGCCUUCGGGUUGUAAACCGCUGUCGUAGAGGAGGAAAUGCAGGGGGGUUCUCCCCUCUGUUUGACCUAUUCUAGGAGGAAGUACGGGCUAAGUUCGUGCCAGCAGCCGCAGUAA